Long non-coding RNA from Octopus sinensis (East Asian common octopus), 87 nucleotides. RefSeq lists it as uncharacterized. The record is from RefSeq and is a predicted model, not a curated record. Lineage: Eukaryota; Metazoa; Mollusca; Cephalopoda; Octopoda; Octopodidae. The transcript has 4 exons.
AGUUUAAGGGAUCACCCCUGAGAGACAAUCCCCUAUUGUUGACAUUGAGUAGCAAGGUCCUUUCCUUCUCCAUAUUCUAGAGAGGCC